RNAcentral lists this ribosomal RNA (312 nucleotides) under uncultured Glomeromycotina. RNAcentral describes it as "LSU rRNA". Lineage: Eukaryota; Fungi; Glomeromycota. The record is from RNAcentral.
UUGAAAGGGAAACGAUUGAAGUCAGUCAUGCUGGUGGGAAUCAACUUAGGGGAAACUCUAGGUGCACUUCUUCGCUUGGCAGGUUAACGUCGAUCUUGAAUGCCAUAAAAUAAUUGGGGGAAGGUAGCUCCUUCGGGAGUGUUAUAGCCCUUGAUAGAUGUGAUGUUUGGGGUCGAGGAUUGCAACGGAUACCCUUUGGGGCUANCCGCCUGAUCUCUAAUCGGUGUUGGGUUACGGAUAGCAUGCUGACCGUGAUCUAAUUACUGGUUAAAAGGUUAGAGUGUGCAUAAAUUCGUUAAGGAUGUUGACGUA